CCUACGGGGGGCAGCAGUGGGGGAUAUUGCACAAUGGGGGAAACCCUGAUGCAGCGACGCCGCGUGAGCGAUGAAGUAUUUCGGUAUGUAAAGCCCUAUCAGCAGGGAAGAAAAUGACGGUACCUGACUAAGAAGCCCCGGCUAACUACGUGCCAGCAGCCGCGGGAAUAAGUAGGGGGCAAGCGUUAUCCGGAUUUACUGGGUGUAAAGGGAGCGUAGACGGCAGUGCAAGUCUGAAGUGAAAGGCAAGGGCUCAACCCUUGGACUGCUUUGGAAACUGGGCUGCUGGAGUGGCGGAGAGGCAAGUGGAAUGCGUAGUGUAGCGGUGAAAUGCGUAGAUAUUAGGAGGAACACCGGUGGCGAAGGCGGCUUACUGGACUGUAACUGACGUUGAGGCUCGAAAGCGUGGGGAGCGAACAGGAUUAAAUACCCUGGUAGUC
This 440-nucleotide ribosomal RNA is filed under the name uncultured bacterium. Its description in RNAcentral is "partial 16S ribosomal RNA". It matches the Rfam family "Bacterial small subunit ribosomal RNA", at positions 338 to 795 of the family's 1533-position model. The record is from RNAcentral.